RNAcentral lists this small RNA (979 nucleotides) under Pan troglodytes (chimpanzee). RNAcentral's name for it is "retained intron". Lineage: Eukaryota; Metazoa; Chordata; Mammalia; Primates; Hominidae. The record is from RNAcentral.
GCCAUCUGUCCUGGACAACUUUGCCUUGCUUUCUGGACAGCUGAACACUCUGAACAAGGUCUUGAAGCAUGAAAAAACACCGCUGUUCCGUAACCAGGUCAUCAUUCCUCUGGUGUUGUCUCCAGACCGAGAUGAAGAUCUCAUGCGGCAGACUGAAGGACGGGUGCCUGUUUUCAGCCAUGAGGUAGUCCCUGACCAUCUGAGAACCAAGCCUGACCCUGAAGUGGAAGAACAGGAGAAGCAACUGACGACAGAUGCUGCCCGCAUUGGUGCAGAUGCAGCCCAGAAGCAGAUCCAGAGCUUGAAUAAAAUGUGUUCAAACCUUCUGGAGAAAAUCAGCAAAGAGGAGCGAGAAUCAGAGAGUGGAGGUAUGAUGGGACUGGUGGCUAAACAGAGAAGGAGAGGUAUAUAAGAUCACUGGAAUGGGAAUGGUUGUUUUGGAAGUAGUGAAGUUAGGACACAAGGGUGAACUGCUUUGGGGUUUGUAUCCAUUCUGUUAGCCUUUUGUAUUUAAGGCCAGCACUGAAGCAGUGGAGGAAAUGGGCAAAGUAAGAAGAGAGAAUUCUGAGAUAGGCUUGGGGGUCCUCUGGCUCUUUUUCUGGGCUGUGAGGGAGUCUAGAUGUUGCUGAAUUCAGAACUCCAAACCCUGGCACUCAUACUGGUCUUCCAGCUGCCACGUUCAGUCCUGCAUCAGAAGCAUACUUCAGGAUCCCCAUUACUUUUUCUUCAGGUCUCCGGCCGAACAAGCAGACCUUUAACCCUACAGACACUAAUGCCUUGGUGGCAGCUGUUGCCUUUGGGAAAGGACUAUCUAAUUGGAGACCUUCAGGCAGCAGUGGUCCUGGCCAGGCAGGCCAGCCAGGAGCUGGGACGAUCCUUGCAGGAACCUCAGGAUUACAGCAGGUGCAGAUGGCAGGAGCUCCAAGCCAGCAGCAGCCAAUGCUCAGUGGGGUACAAAUGGCUCAGGCAGGUCAACCAG